RNAcentral lists this ribosomal RNA (403 nucleotides) under Verrucomicrobiota bacterium. RNAcentral describes it as "Verrucomicrobia bacterium partial 16S ribosomal RNA". It matches the Rfam family "Bacterial small subunit ribosomal RNA", at positions 355 to 776 of the family's 1533-position model. The record is from RNAcentral. Lineage: Bacteria; Pseudomonadati; Verrucomicrobiota.
UGGGGAAUAUUGCACAAUGGGGGAAACCCUGAUGCAGCGACGCCGCGUGAGCGAAGAAGGCUUUCGAGUCGUAAAGCUCUGUCCUAUGAGAAGAUAAUGACGGUAUCAUAGGAGGAAGCCCUGGCUAAAUACGUGCCAGCAGCCGCGGUAAUACGUAUGGGGCGAGCGUUGUCCGGAAUUAUUGGGCGUAAAGGGUACGUAGGCGGUUUUUUAAGUCAGGUGUCAAAGCGUGGAGCUUAACUCCAUUAAGCACUUGAAACUGAAAGACUUGAGUGAAGGAGAGGGAAGUGGAAGUCCUAGUGUAGCGGUGAAAUGCGUAGAUAUUAGGCGGAAUACCGGUGGCGAAGGCGACUUUCUGGACUUUUACUGACGCUCAAGUACGAAAGCGUGGGGAGCAAACAGG